This 377-nucleotide long non-coding RNA is filed under the name Daucus carota (carrot). Its description in RNAcentral is "long non-coding RNA (DCAR_LNC001319)". Lineage: Eukaryota; Viridiplantae; Streptophyta; Magnoliopsida; Apiales; Apiaceae. The record is from RNAcentral.
CAUCAGCAAUGUUAUUGGCAGCCUGAAUCUGCUGGUACAGGACUAGUCCCCCGAAAAUAUCGGAUGCAAUGUGGAACAGGCCGUCCUCAGGGACCACCUUGUAGACCGGGAGCCCGUCCGAGGUUCCUGUUCCAUUGGCGCAGCGGCAGGGGAAGGGUAUUUUGACGGUCUGUUUGGCCUUGAUGGCGAGGGAGGGGAGUGUUGUUGGGGGAUAGUUGUUGGCGCCGAGGAAUGAUAGGAGGUUUUUGGAGAUUCCGAAGAGGGUUGUGAUGUUGGAGAUGGUGGUGUCGUUGGGGGAGACGUAGUCGAUGAGGGAGUUGCAUUUUGAUGAUGGCUUGCAGCUGAAGGGCUGUGCUUUUGUUGGUGGUGUGGUGGUG